Molecule: long non-coding RNA, 210 nt
Organism: Mus caroli (Ryukyu mouse)
Lineage: Eukaryota; Metazoa; Chordata; Mammalia; Rodentia; Muridae
Source: RefSeq, a predicted model, not a curated record
AGAAGAAAUGCCUUCCAUCAAUGAUCGAAGGUCACAGAUAAAAUACUUGGCUUCAAGGAUCCACCUUCCAUUCCACUCUCUGCUAUGAGGGGAAGCAAUACAAAUCCAGAUCUGGCUGCCCAACAUGGGACAUUCCAACUGACGGAAUUCUGAGCCAAGUCACCAUCUCAGCGUUAAACCCAGCUCUCUAUGACAUCACUGGUACCGCCG